GUUCCUAUAGCUCAGCCGGCAGAGCAACAGACUCUUAAUCUGUGGGUCCUCGGUUCGAUCCCGAGUGGGAACACCA
RNAcentral lists this transfer RNA (76 nucleotides) under Erysipelothrix anatis. RNAcentral describes it as "tRNA-Lys(ctt)". It matches the Rfam family "tRNA". From Rfam's summary of the family: Transfer RNA (tRNA) molecules are approximately 80 nucleotides in length. Their secondary structure includes four short double-helical elements and three loops (D, anti-codon, and T loops). RNAcentral also lists the same sequence under 2 other names. Lineage: Bacteria; Bacillati; Bacillota; Erysipelotrichia; Erysipelotrichales; Erysipelotrichaceae. The record is from RNAcentral.